RNAcentral lists this ribosomal RNA (406 nucleotides) under uncultured bacterium. RNAcentral describes it as "partial 16S ribosomal RNA". It matches the Rfam family "Bacterial small subunit ribosomal RNA", at positions 30 to 526 of the family's 1533-position model. The record is from RNAcentral.
AUUGAACGCUGGCGGCAGGCCUAACACAUGCAAGUCGAACGAGUGGCGGACGGAUGAGUAAUGUCUGGGAAUCUGCCCGAUGGAGGGGGAUAACUACUGGAAACGGUAGCUAAUACCGCAUACCAUCGGAUGUGCCCAGAUGGGAUGAGCUAGUAGGGGGGGUAAUGGCUCACCUAGGCGACGAUCUCUAGCUGGUCUGAGAGGAUGAUCAGCCACACUGGGACGUAGACACGGCCCAGACUCCGACGGGAGGCAGCAGUGGGGAAUAUUGCACAAUGGGCGCAAGCCUGAUGCACCCAUGCCGCGUGGAUGAAGAAGGCCUUGGGGUUGUAAAGUACUUGCAGCGAGGAGGCGUUACUCGCAGAAGAAGCACCGGCUAACUCCGUGCCAGCCGCCGCGGUAAUAC